This 619-nucleotide ribosomal RNA is filed under the name Scytalidium cuboideum. RNAcentral describes it as "partial 18S ribosomal RNA". The stretch from base 262 to 431 matches the Rfam family "5.8S ribosomal RNA". The record is from RNAcentral. Lineage: Eukaryota; Fungi; Ascomycota; Leotiomycetes.
UUUUUUGGAAGUAAAGUCGUAACAAGGUCUCCGUAGGUGAACCUGGGGAGGGAUCAUUACCGAGUUUCGCACCCCCCUGGGGGGGUCAGACUCCCACCCCGGUGUAUGUUCGUACUCUUGUUGCUUUGGCAAGGCCGCUGGCUUUUUUUUUUCUUGAAGUUUGCCUGCCCAUCGGCCUUUCCAGGCUGGUGCGCCCCUCCCAGAGGACCUUCCAACGCAUGUCGUCCAGUGUUGUUCUGAAUAAACUUGAUUAAUUGUGAAAACUUUUCAAACAACGGAUCUUUUUGUGUUUCUGGCAUCGAAUGAAGAAACGCAAGCGAAAUGCGAAUAAGUAAUGUGAAUUGCAGAAAUUCCAGGUGAAUCAUCGAAUCUUUGAACGCCCCAUUGGCGCCCCCUUGGUAUUCCGGGGGGCAUGCCUGUUCGAGGCGUCAUUUCAACCUUUCCAAGCGCUCCUGCUUGGUGUUGGGCUGCGCCGUGCACCUGCGCGGCGGGCCUUAAAUUCAGUGGCGGUGCCGUCCUGGCUCCAAGCGUAGUGAUCGUUCUCGCUCUGGAGGCCCGGCGGUGCUGGCCAGGCCAAACCCUAAAAAUUCUCCAGGUGACCUCGGAUCAGUAGAACCCG